CCUACGGGUGGCAGCAGUCGAGAAUCAUUCACAAUGGGGGAAACCCUGAUGGUGCGACGCCGCGUGGGGGAAUGAAGGUCUUCGGAUUGUAAACUCCUGUCAUGUGGGAGCAAAUUAAAAAGAUAGUACCACAAGAGGAAGAGACGGCUAACUCUGUGCCAGCAGCCGCGGUAAUACAGAGGUCUCAAGCGUGGUUCGGAAUCACUGGGCGUAAAGCGUGCGUAGGCUGUUUCGUAAGUGGGGUGUGAAAGGCGCGGGCUCAACCCGCGGACGGCACAUGAUACUGCGAGACUAGAGUGAUGGAGGGGGAAGCGGAAUUCUCGGUGUAGCAGUGAAAUGCGUAGAUAUCGAGAGGAACACUGGUGGCGAAGGCGGGUUCCUGGACAUUAACUGACGCUGAGGCACGAAGGCGAGGGGAGCGAAAGGGAUUAGAUACCCGGGUAGUC
RNAcentral lists this ribosomal RNA (446 nucleotides) under uncultured bacterium. RNAcentral's name for it is "partial 16S ribosomal RNA". It matches the Rfam family "Bacterial small subunit ribosomal RNA", at positions 338 to 795 of the family's 1533-position model. The record is from RNAcentral.